RNAcentral lists this transfer RNA (72 nucleotides) under Nippostrongylus brasiliensis. It matches the Rfam family "tRNA". Rfam says of the family: Transfer RNA (tRNA) molecules are approximately 80 nucleotides in length. Their secondary structure includes four short double-helical elements and three loops (D, anti-codon, and T loops). Further hydrogen bonds mediate the characteristic L-shaped molecular structure. tRNAs have two regions of fundamental functional importance: the anti-codon, which is responsible for specific mRNA codon recognition, and the 3' end, to which the tRNAs corresponding amino acid is attached (by aminoacyl-tRNA synthetases). tRNAs cope with the degeneracy of the genetic code in two manners: having more than one tRNA (with a specific anti-codon) for a particular amino acid; and 'wobble' base-pairing, i.e. permitting non-standard base-pairing at the 3rd anti-codon position. The record is from Rfam by way of RNAcentral. Lineage: Eukaryota; Metazoa; Nematoda; Chromadorea; Rhabditida; Heligmosomidae.
ACUUAGGUAGCACAGUGGUUAGUGCAGUCUGCCGGAAACGAACAGACGCGGGUUCAAUUCCCGUCCGAUGUC